GUACGCGUUACAUUUCAUUGCUUUCGCUUGAUUAGUUGGUUUAUAUCGAAAGUAAAGGUUUAAUAGUAUAGGUUUUAUUAAUCUAUAUUUAUUUUUGUGCUGCAGCUCAAGAUGCCUUUGACUCGUUCGCAAGCCGCCGGGGCAGCUGAGGCGGCGGAUGCAGAGGAAGUGGGGACUUCUGUUACUUCGGGAUCUAGUGGGAUCCAUGAGUUGCAGGAUCAGCUCGCGAAGCUGACAGGUUUGGUUGCUCAGCAGCCUGCGGCCGCGCGACAGCAGAUGGACGCUGCGCGUCGACAGGAGGAUAAGAUGAAGAGGUUAGAGGAUCUGUUACUGCGGCAGACGACCGACAGAGAGAUUCCAGAUUCUGUACUUCCAGAUUCUGUACCUAUAGCACCAGAGAGGGGCACCACUGCGAGAGCACCGUCACCGGUACC
Molecule: long non-coding RNA, 434 nt
Filed under: Ananas comosus (pineapple)
Lineage: Eukaryota; Viridiplantae; Streptophyta; Magnoliopsida; Poales; Bromeliaceae
Description: long non-coding RNA (ACOM_LNC037894)
Source: RNAcentral